This 492-nucleotide ribosomal RNA is filed under the name uncultured bacterium. RNAcentral describes it as "partial 16S ribosomal RNA". It matches the Rfam family "Bacterial small subunit ribosomal RNA", at positions 29 to 507 of the family's 1533-position model. The record is from RNAcentral.
AGUGAACGCUGGCGGUAGGCCUAACACAUGCAAGUCGAACGGCAGCACAGUAAGAGCUUGCUCUUACGGGUGGCGAGUGGCGGACGGGUGAGGAAUACAUCGGAAUCUACUUUUUCGUGGGGGAUGACGUAGGGAAACUUACGCUAAUACCGCAUACGACCUACGGGUGAAAGCAGGGGAUCUUCGGACCUUGCGCGAUUGAAUGAGCCGAUGUCGGAUUAGCUAGUUGGCGGGGUAAAGGCCCACCAAGGCGACGAUCCGUAGCUGGUCUGAGAGGAUGAUCAGCCACACUGGAACUGAGACACGGUCCAGACUCCUACGGGAGGCAGCAGUGGGGAAUAUUGGACAAUGGGCGCAAGCCUGUUCCAGCCAUACCGCGUGGGUGAAGAAGGCCUUCGGGUUGUAAAGCCCUUUUGUUGGGAAAGAAAAGCAGCAGGUUAAUACCCCGCUGUUCUGACGGUACCCAAAGAAUAAGCACCGGCUAACUUCGUG